CACAGUUUUGCACGGGGGCUCUGUGUUUCUUAAACUGUCGCCAGUAAACAAAAGCUGUGCAUGGGUGUGUUUGCAGUUUCUCAUGACUGCACUCACACAGCAUCGGAAACACUGGCUUGACUCUAUAGCCUUAGUUUCAAAUGCCCCCUAAAAGGCUCUACAAAAUGGUGUCAGCAAACUAUGUGAAAGUCAUCAAGAACAAACAAACUAAAUUUCAUGCCUCUUGGUUUAAGGCUACCUGUUUAAGAAGGCAGCAGAUCUGAUUCAGCUGUGUACCAUUCUGUGGGUUCUCUACAACCCUCAAACAUCCACGUACAGGGUCGCAGUCUCUCUGCUGGUGCAGAGCACUUGGCAAAAGAUAGCUUCCACUGAGUGCUCCAUGCUCUCCCACAAGCCCUCCUGGAACCAGAGAACUUGGCAAGAUUAAGGAUGUUGUUAAAAAAGGAUGUUCUGAGCCAAACUUGUCCAGUGAGAUAGUGGCCGGAAGGAAACUAGUAAACUAAACUUGGCACAUUGAUGCCUCUCAUUGGCACACCUGCAGCCACCAUGUUGUGAUGAUCCUCAAACAGCCCUGUGGAGAGGCCAAUGCAUGAAGAGGCCAUGUGGAAAGGAACAAACUUGCCAGCCGGAUGAGUGAGCCACCUUGAAAGCAGAUUCUCCUGCCUCAGUCAAAACUUCAGAUGAUUCCUGGCCCCAAUCUCAAAGUCUUUCAGCUGAGACCUCAGAUAACGUGAAGAAACGAACCAUCUCUGCUGUGCCCUAUUUGAAUAUCUGACCCACAGAAACCAUGAAAUAAUAAAUUGUUCUUUCAAACGACUAAGUUUUGGGAUGAUUUAUUAUGCAGCAAUAGAUAAUUAAUACAGAGGAGUCAGAAAGGCAAGAGAGAAAUUAAGAGAG
RNAcentral lists this long non-coding RNA (897 nucleotides) under Equus caballus (horse). Its description in RNAcentral is "lncRNA (ENSECAG00000053762.1)". The record is from RNAcentral. Lineage: Eukaryota; Metazoa; Chordata; Mammalia; Perissodactyla; Equidae.